Molecule: unclassified non-coding RNA, 1324 nt
Filed under: Diabrotica virgifera virgifera (western corn rootworm)
Lineage: Eukaryota; Metazoa; Arthropoda; Insecta; Coleoptera; Chrysomelidae
Description: uncharacterized LOC126879691
Source: RNAcentral
GAGUAGCCACUCCCGACAACCGUAAUAAUUAACAUCGAAUAACAAAAAGUUACCUUACGAUCGAGGUACGAAAAUGAAAACAGAAUUAGUGCUAGCUAACCAACGACUUAAGAAGGUCAAAUACAGACAAAUAUGUGUUGGAGAAAAAACGGCAGAUGUCAUACAUAAAAGAAUAGGAGAUAUUCAAUAAAUCUAUUUUGGAAUUGCAAUUACAAAGCAAGCUAAAUAUAUCUGUAAAAAUAUAAUAUACCUAAAAUGAACGUCUGCCGUACCUAGAGAAUUAUAAAAUAGAACCAAGCUUUUAACAUCCCACAAAGACAACUUAUAUGGAAAAUGCACUAAGAAUAACAUUCCUAUUAAUUAUCUGGAACGUAAAUCUUCCCUAAGAUGUGUAUACUCAUAGAGCCGCUUACCGUCUGAUAAACCGGCACGUCCAUAAGCCAACACUUGGAAUUAGAGCUGAAGGAAUUUCAUCUAGAUUGGAACAAAGAUAAGUGUACUUAAUUAAUGUUCUCAUUUAUAGACCGAAUUGUGUUCCGCAAUAUAUUAUAUAUUUAUUCUACAUUUGUUGUUAAGCAUUAGAUUAUUUUUUAACUUCCCUUAUCAUAUCUUUUACUAUCGGUUGUGUCUACACAACAAAUAAUAUUUUGUCAAUUUUUCAUCUAAAUCUCAAUGCAUGUAAGGGAACAUAAGUACUUAUAGACCUAGAGCAUUGGUCUCUAUAGGGUUCAUUACAUAAUAACUUAGGUAUUGUGGUAGAUAAUAUACAAGUAUAUUAAUACGGUAUUAUGAAGAAUAUCAUCUGGUUCUGUUGACUAGCACUCACUAUUGUUUUUCUGUCUCUUUAUUGUUUGUAUCUGAAAGAAACGUAAACUCAUAGAAAUCAUUUAAUAGUCGGAAACUUUUACGUUAUCUGCUUAUAUCUUGGCAACCAAAAUUUUAACAUUACUCAUAUUCAUUAUUUAUAUUAUUAAUUAAAUUUUACUAUUAUAUAUUCAUCUUGCAAGCCAAUGUUUUACAUUAUUAUACAUUAUUUAUAUUUUUAGCUAGAAAUUUUACAUUAUAUAUAUAUACAGUAGUUACCAAAAUCUUACUUUACAUAUAUCUAGGUAUUUUUUUUUACACAAUAAAAAUAAGGUAUACCUAUUGGGUUUGUAUCAUUUCACCUGCACCUGAUAUCUCUCAACUAUAUGUGUUCAUAUAAUAUUUUAUUUCAGGAUUAAGUUAUUUGGAUUGUUUAUAUCUUUCUCCUUAUUUCUCUCUCUCUCUUUCUCUCUCUCUCUUUCCCCCUCUCUCUCUCUCUCUCUCUCUAUCUCUCUCUCUA